RNAcentral lists this ribosomal RNA (408 nucleotides) under uncultured prokaryote. RNAcentral describes it as "bacterial SSU rRNA". It matches the Rfam family "Bacterial small subunit ribosomal RNA", at positions 355 to 776 of the family's 1533-position model. RNAcentral also lists the same sequence under 1 other name. The record is from RNAcentral.
UUAGGAAUCUUGCGCAAUGGGGGAAACCCUUACGCAGCGACUCCGCGUGAAUGAAGAAGGCCUUCAGGAUGUAAAGUUCUGUUCUAUGGGGAUGAAGGCAGUGACGGUACCCAUAGAGAAAGCCGCGGCUAACUACGUGCCAGCAGCCGCGGUAAUACGUAGGGGGCGAGCGUUAUCCGAAUUUACUGGGCGUAAAGCGCGUGUAGGCGGCUUUUUAAGUGAGGUGUGAAAUCCUGUGGCUCAACCACAGAACUGCACUUCAAACUGGGGAGCUUGAAAUUGGGAGAGGAAAGUGGAAUUCCUGGUGUAGCGGUGAAAUGCGUAGAUAUCAGGAGGAACACCCGUGGCGAAGGCGGCUUUCUGGCCCAACAUUGACGCUGAGACGCGAAAGCCAGGGGAGCGAACGGG